CACAAAAGCCGUGCCAUCCCCAUAGUCAGCUUUCUGUUCAAAUGGCUGGCUAAUUUGCCGACUUGAUAUCAAUCAAGAAAGGCAAAAUACCAAAACGAUCAAGGUCGGAUUGAAAUUAUACCAACAUGGCCACGAUCAGUUGAGAGAUAUUCGGCUUGCCACCAUUUAUCAGAUAAUACGACAUAUGAACCCGAUCAAAGUUCGAAUAACAGAUAUACAACUUACUAUCGUUAUCCUAACUAAAUACAUUGGAAACUAUACGACUAGCAGACCUUACAAUCUGCAGAA
RNAcentral lists this long non-coding RNA (288 nucleotides) under Elaeis guineensis (African oil palm). Its description in RNAcentral is "long non-coding RNA (EGUI_LNC024032)". Lineage: Eukaryota; Viridiplantae; Streptophyta; Magnoliopsida; Arecales; Arecaceae. The record is from RNAcentral.